Molecule: ribosomal RNA, 1362 nt
Filed under: uncultured bacterium
Lineage: Bacteria
Description: bacterial SSU rRNA
Rfam family: Bacterial small subunit ribosomal RNA
Source: RNAcentral
AGAGUUUGAUUCUGGCUCAGGAUGAACGCUAGCGACAGGCCUAACACAUGCAAGUCGAGGGGUAACAGGGGCUUCGGCCCGCUGACGACCGGCGCACGGGUGAGUAACGCGUAUGCAACCUGCCUGUAACAGCGGGAUAGCUCCCUGAAAGGGGAAUUAACACCGCAUAAGACCACGCUCUCGCAUGGGGACGGGGUAAAAUAUUUAUAGGUUACAGAUGGGCAUGCGUGACAUUAGUUAGUUGGUGAGGUAACGGCUCACCAAGACAGCGAUGUCUAGGGGUUCUGAGAGGAAGGUCCCCCACACUGGAACUGAGACACGGUCCAUACACCUACGGGUGGCAGCAGUAGGGAAUAUUAGAAAUGGGCGAAAGCCUGAUCUAGCAACACCGCGUGUGCGAUGAAGGCCUUCGGGUUGUAAAGCACUUUUUGGAGGGAAUAGGAAGGAAGGUACCUCCAGAAUAAGUCUCGGCUAACUACGUGCCAGCAGCCGCGGUAACACGUAGGAGGCAAACGUUAUCCGGAUUCACUGGGCGUAAAGCGCGUGUAGGUGGUUCUGUAAGUAGGGCGUGAAAGCUCCCGGCUCAACUGGGAGAGGCCGUACUAAACUGCAGAGCUAGAGGAUGGUAGAGGGAGGUGGAAUUCCAGGUGUAGUGGUGAAAUGCGCAGAUAUCUGGAGGAACACCAGUGGCGAAGGCGGCCUCCUGGACCAUUCCUGACACUCAGACGCGAAAGCUAGGGUAGCAAACGGAAUUAGAGACUCCGGUAGUCCUAGCCCUAAACGAUGCAGAAAAGGCGUCGGCGGUUUAAUCACCCGUCGGUUUCCAAGCUAACGCGAUAAGUCUGCCGCCUGAGGACUACGGCCGCAAGGCUAAAACUCAAAGGAAUUGACGGGUCCCCGCACAAGCAGCGGAGCGUGUGGUUUAAUUCGAUGCUCCGCGAAGAACCUUACCUGGGUUUGACAUAACAGUGGUAGAGAAGAGAAAACGGAUCGACCCUUCGGGGAGCUGUUACAGGUGUUGCAUGCCUGUCGUCAGCUCGUGUCGUGAGAUGUUCGGUUAAGUCCGCUAACGAGCGCAACCCGCGCUGUGUGUUACAAGUGUCACACAGUACCGCCGGUAUUAAGUCGGAGGAAGGUGCGGAUGACGUCAAGUCAGCAUGACCUUUAUAUCCAGGGCUACACACACGCUACAAUGGUCAGAACAAUAGGUUGCCAAGCCGCAAGGCGGAGCCAAUCCUCCAAAUCUGGCCUCAGUUCAGAUUGCAGGCUGCAACUCGCCUGCAUGAAGUCGGAGUUGCUAGUAACCGCAGGUCAGCAUACUGCGGUGAAUACAAGCCCGGGGAUUGCACACACCGCCCGUCA